RNAcentral lists this ribosomal RNA (468 nucleotides) under uncultured bacterium. Its description in RNAcentral is "partial 16S ribosomal RNA". It matches the Rfam family "Bacterial small subunit ribosomal RNA", at positions 28 to 507 of the family's 1533-position model. The record is from RNAcentral.
GACGAACGCUGGCGGCGUGCUUAACACAUGCAAGUCGAACGGAAAGGCCCUGCUUUUGUGGGGUGCUCGAGUGGCGAACGGGUGAGUAACACGUGAGUAACCUGCCCUUGACUUUGGGAUAACUUCAGGAAACUGGGGCUAAUACCGGAUAGGAGCUCAUGCUGCAUGGUGGGGGUUGGAAAGUUUGGGCGGUUGGGGAUGGACUCGCGGCUUAUCAGCUUGUUGGUGGGGUAGUGGCUUACCAAGGCUUUGACGGGUAGCCGGCCUGAGAGGGUGACCGGCCACAUUGGGACUGAGAUACGGCCCAGACUCCUACGGGAGGCAGCAGUGGGGAAUAUUGCACAAUGGGCGGAAGCCUGAUGCAGCAACGCCGCGUGCGGGAUGACGGCCUUCGAGUUGUAAACCGCUUUCGCCUGUGACGAAGCGUGAGUGACGGUAAUGGGUAAAGAAGCACCGGCUAACUACGUG